Long non-coding RNA from Artibeus jamaicensis (Jamaican fruit-eating bat), 1429 nucleotides. RefSeq lists it as uncharacterized. The record is from RefSeq and is a predicted model, not a curated record. The transcript has 3 exons. NCBI's taxonomy places the organism in Eukaryota, Metazoa, Chordata, Mammalia, Chiroptera, Phyllostomidae.
UUCGAGGUGCUGCUGCCGCCGCCGGACCUGCGCCUUCGCGCCACUUCGCGCCCUCGGGCGAGGCCGAGGGGGUGGGGACGACCCCCGCCGCGCUUCCGAGGCUCGCGCCCUGCGCGAAGCCCCUUCUACAGGGUGGGCCGGCCAGCCGGCCUCACCCCCUGGCUGGGGCCUCCAGUCGUAGUAAAGCAGAGGCGGGUGGGGAGGCGGGAGCGAUAGUCCGCGGCGGGCGAGGCGAAGAUGGUGGCGGCUACUUCUGCCGCCAUACACGUGGACCUAAGUGCACCAAAAGCUUUUCUAAGGAUAGUUGCUGAGAAAGAAGUUUUCCCGAGUGGGCAAAACUGUCUAAGCAGAACAAGCCAGACUUGGCUUUCCCUAUAGCUGGACAAGUCCUACGGAAUGAUCCCCGACGAUUCAGCCUGCAGCUGCCUAGAGAACGAUUCAAGGCUAUUCAAGGCUAUGUUAAAGUUCAUGUGUACUUAAUGAAAUAACUUGUUAGUAAGUGACCGCCUGGCGUGGUUUGUCUAGCAUUAAGAAAAGUUAGGAGCCUCUGGGCUGAGCAGAAAAGGUAAGGAGAGCUCAGUGUACAGACUUACUUCUUGGUGUGUGUCUGGAGAUAAUAUGCCUACUCAAGAUGUGGCUUUAAAAGUCUGAAUGUACUUCUGUUUUGAUAAAUAUUCUUUGUAUUGUCAGUAAUAAUAUUGAUAAACUGUAAUAUCUUUAGUGAGUUUUAAAGGAUAACUGGGGGGGUAUCCCAUCAAUUUUAGGACCAUAAAAUAUUUGUUUUAAAAAGCUUAGUUUUCCCAGUAAUUUGAACCAAGACACAGCAUUGAGAUGCCUACUUUAAUAUGCAUUUAUGAUUUAAUCAUGUUCUUUGAGUUUUAGUGCCUUUAAUGUAAACAAAAUUAUGUAUUUUAAAACUGUUAAGAAAUUGUCCAGAAUGAGCAUAUUGAAAUAAAAAUUUUAAGGUUAUUUUUAGUUGUGACGGUUUCUCUGGGUUUGUUUUCGUUGUUGUUUUUUUGUUCAUUUGUUUUUGUUACAGUAAGUGUGCCUAACAUCUUCAUCGAGGUAAUUGGGGAGGUGGUGUAAAUACCAAGGGUGAUUUGCCUGCAUUAUCUUAGUUCAGUAUCCAUUGCCUCUGAAUUGAGAUAAGCAUAAUUUCUUGUACAAAAAGGAUGUAAAACUGGAAAAUGGACUCUGAAUUAAAAUUAUGUCAGUUUUUUUUAAAAGGUUAACUUCUAAUCUGACAUGCUUAUAUCACACCUGAAUUUAUUUGAUUUGGGUUUUUAGUGUAUUAAAGGCUACUAAGAAAAGUCCCAAGUAUAAAUUAUUUAUUAAUUUAUGUAUAUUAUAGGUCAUGAGCACUAAAAAUCCAGCCACUUGCUAUUUUAUUAAGCUAGUUAAGUCUGAAGAAUCUCCUUUUACUGGAAUA